GAUGAACGCUAGCGGCAGGCCUAAUACAUGCAAGUCGGACGGGAUUGGAGGGCUUGCUUUCCAUGAGAGUGGCGCACGGGUGCGUAACACGUAUGUAACCUACCCAUAUCAGGGGGAUAGCCUCUCGAAAGAGAGAUUAAGCCCGCAUAACAUCAGGGGACAGCAUUGUUUGUGAUCAAAUAUUUAUAGGAUAUGGAUGGGCAUGCGGAACAUUAGCUAGUUGGCGGGGUAACGGCCCACCAAGGCGACGAUGUUUAGGGGAUCUGAGAGGAUGGCCCCCCACACUGGUACUGAGACACGGACCAGACUCCUACGGGAGGCAGCAGUAAGGAAUAUUGGUCAAUGGGCGGAAGCCUGAACCAGCCAUGCCGCGUGCAGGAAGACG
This 385-nucleotide ribosomal RNA is filed under the name uncultured bacterium. RNAcentral's name for it is "bacterial SSU rRNA". It matches the Rfam family "Bacterial small subunit ribosomal RNA", at positions 28 to 413 of the family's 1533-position model. The record is from RNAcentral.